This 915-nucleotide ribosomal RNA is filed under the name Burkholderiales bacterium JGI 0001003-J08. Its description in RNAcentral is "bacterial LSU rRNA". It matches the Rfam family "Bacterial large subunit ribosomal RNA", at positions 2015 to 2925 of the family's 2925-position model. Lineage: Bacteria; Pseudomonadati; Pseudomonadota; Betaproteobacteria; Burkholderiales. The record is from RNAcentral.
ACUGUCUCCUCCAGAGACUCAGCGAAGUUGAAAUGUUUGUGAUGAUGCAAUCUCCCCGCGGAAAGACGGAAAGACCCCAUGAACCUUUACUGUAGCUUUACAUUGGACUUUGAACAGAUCUGUGUAGGAUAGGUGGGAGGCUUUGAAGCGGUGCCGCUAGGUGUCGUGGAGCCAACGUUGAAAUACCACCCUGGUGUGUUUGAGGUUCUAACCUUGGCCCGUGAUCCGGGUUGGGGACAGUGUAUGGUGGGCAGUUUGACUGGGGCGGUCUCCUCCCAAAGCGUAACGGAGGAGUUCGAAGGUACGCUAGGCACGGUCGGAAAUCGUGCUGAUAGUGCAUUGGCAUAAGCGUGCUUGACUGCGAGACUGACAAGUCGAGCAGGUACGAAAGUAGGACAAAGUGAUCCGGUGGUUCUGUAUGGAAGGGCCAUCGCUCAACGGAUAAAAGGUACUCUGGGGAUAACAGGCUGAUACCGCCCAAGAGUUCAUAUCGACGGCGGUGUUUGGCACCUCGAUGUCGGCUCAUCUCAUCCUGGGGCUGUAGCCGGUCCCAAGGGUAUGGCUGUUCGCCAUUUAAAGAGGUACGUGAGCUGGGUUUAAAACGUCGUGAGACAGUUUGGUCCCUAUCUUCCGUGGGCGCUGCAAGAUUGAGAGAGCCUGCUCCUAGUACGAGAGGACCGGAGUGGACGCACCUCUGGUGUAUCGGUUGUCACGCCAGUGGCAUUGCCGAGUAGCUACGUGCGGAAGAGAUAACCGCUGAAAGCAUCUAAGCGGGAAACUCGUCUCAAGAUGAGUCUUGCCGGGGCCUCGAGCCCCCUGAAGAGUCGUUCGAGACCAGGACGUUGAUAGGCUGGGUGUGGAAGCGCAGUAAUGCGUUAAGCUAACCAGUACUAAUUGCUCGUGAGGCUUGACCCU